This 569-nucleotide ribosomal RNA is filed under the name uncultured bacterium. RNAcentral describes it as "partial 16S ribosomal RNA". It matches the Rfam family "Bacterial small subunit ribosomal RNA", at positions 355 to 914 of the family's 1533-position model. The record is from RNAcentral.
UGGGGAAUUUUGGACAAUUGGGCGAAAGCCUGAUCCAGCAAUGCCGCGUGUGUGAAGAAGGCCUUCGGGUUGUAAAGCACUUUUGUCCGGAAAGAAAUCCUUGGCUCUAAUACAGUCGGGGGAUGACGGUACCGGAAGAAUAAGCACCGGCUAACUACGUGCCAGCAGCCGCGGUAAUACGUAGGGUGCAAGCGUUAAUCGGAAUUACUGGGCGUAAAGCGUGCGCAGGCGGUUUGCUAAGACCGAUGUGAAAUCCCCGGGCUCAACCUGGGAACUGCAUUGGUGACUGGCAGGCUAGAGUAUGGCAGAGGGGGGUAGAAUUCCACGUGUAGCAGUGAAAUGCGUAGAGAUGUGGAGGAAUACCGAUGGCGAAGGCAGCCCCCUGGGCCAAUACUGACGCUCAUGCACGAAAGCGUGGGGAGCAAAACAGGAUUAGAUACCCUGGUAGUCCACGCCCUAAAACGAUGUCAACUAGUUGUUGGGGAUUCAUUUCCUUAGUAACGUAGCUAACGCGUGAAGUUGACCGCCUGGGGAGUACGGUCGCAAGAUUAAAACUUAAAUGAAUUGAC